UUUCAAGCUAAUGCUAAUACGGGCCGUUAUAUAAAUCUCAUACAGACGAUAUGAAAUUGACAGAGUAUUGUAAGCAGUUGAGUAGCCUUUGUUGCUACGAAGUGCUGAGAUUAAGCUCUUGUCCUAGAAUUGU
RNAcentral lists this non-coding RNA (133 nucleotides) under Absidia glauca. RNAcentral describes it as "Eukaryotic large subunit ribosomal RNA". It matches the Rfam family "Eukaryotic large subunit ribosomal RNA", at positions 3266 to 3401 of the family's 3401-position model. Lineage: Eukaryota; Fungi; Mucoromycota; Mucoromycetes; Mucorales; Cunninghamellaceae. The record is from Rfam by way of RNAcentral.